This 11126-nucleotide long non-coding RNA is filed under the name Gossypium barbadense (sea-island cotton). RNAcentral's name for it is "long non-coding RNA (GBAR_LNC009828)". The record is from RNAcentral. Lineage: Eukaryota; Viridiplantae; Streptophyta; Magnoliopsida; Malvales; Malvaceae.
GUUCUUCCAAUGCUCUGUUUUUGAUUCUUUUUCCUCUGAAAAUUGAGCCGGCGUUGAUAUAUCAUUUGAAUCAAUCGAACCACAAGGUGACCUCUGGCUUUCAAGUUGAUCGCCCGAGUUGAUUCGGUUCCUAAUGCUGUCAAGGUGAGUUGCUAAACUUCCAUUAAUGUUAUUAGGAGAGCUCUGAACAUGAUCCAUUGAAUUCGAAGCUGAAAUAUGUGACAUUGUGGCCGGCGAAAACCGAUGUGAACUCACAUCAUCUUCACCCACGAUUUCACCAGUCCCAUCUUCUUCAUCUUUAUGAACAGAUAACAAUCUCCAAUACAUAAUUAUAAGUAUCAAAACAUUCACCGAGACACCAACCAGCAUUGCCGGCAAAACCCCAACAAGAAAAUCCCCAAAAGAAAUCUUACUUUGAACAGCAAUCACCAAAUUCUGUGGAUUCCCAAUCGGAGUAGCCGAAGAACCUAUAUUAGCACUCGAAGCAAGUGCUAACAAAAAUGGGUGAGGAGGCAAAUUAUGUUGCCUUGCAAUUUUCAAUACAAACUCAGUUAAUAUCACACAAGAAGUAUCAUUAGUGAAAAAAGCACUUGAAAUCGCAGAAACCAAACAGAUUCUACAGAUUAAAUCCUUAGCUCCUUUACUUUUCCAUGAAAGCAAUUUACCUAAAUACUUAAACAUAUCGGCUCUUUCGAGAUAAACACUAACGACCAUGGUGCCGAAUAAAAGACCCAAGAUUGGUAGAUCAAUGGCGGCGUAAGCUUCAUCUGGGGUUAUUACUCUGAAUAAAACCAUAAGCAUGGCACCGAGUAAAGACCCGGCGGUUCUUCCGAUUGGUAAAAGUGGGACGGCAGGGAAAACAGCUAAUACCCAGAAGAUUGCAAAGGCUAUUGAGCCGAGAACUAUUUUGUAUGUAGCGGCUAACGCCAUUGUUGUUCUGGUCUUAAUCCUUCGGCUUCUUUUUUUUCUUUUUAUCAUGCAAGAUUAUAAUCUUAAAAACAUUUAUAAAAAGUAAAAGAAGAAAAGAACAAAGACUUGCCGCUUUACGAUUAAAUUAAAGUAGUUAUGGUGAUUGUUUGUUUGCAUGUGAACGCCUUAAAUUCGAUGAGAGAUUUGGCGCACUAGUUUUAAGUUUCUCGAGUUUUUAGAGGUUCUUAUACAGCUGCGACCAAUCCUGUAUGAUUUUCAUGGCGGUGGCCACCACGUACUAUUUUUUCUCCUAUAAGAUUCGAUUAACAGCAUUAAAUUCAUCUUUGUAAUUUUAAAAAUUAUAAAAUAUUAUUAAAUUAUUAAAAAAAAAUUAUUUAAGUUAUUAAAUUAUUAAAUUCUUUUUUUUUUAAAAGUCUUGUUAGGAAGCUUCAAUUGACGAUAGAUAUGUAUCUAUUAAAGAGUAGAAAAAUGUCAAGUCAAUUUAAUAGUUAGUGUCGAAGAUCGAUAAAGAAAACUAUUAUUUUAUUAAUUUAUAAUUUUUUUAAAUUAAAUAAUCAAAACAUAAACAUAUUAAUUAACAAUUCGAACCGUUGUAAGAUGAAUUUGAUAAUUUAUACAUAGAUGAGGUGUAUAUAUUUUUGUGGUUUUUAUGAAGCGUGUAAGUUUAAACUUCAAUAAAAAUAAAUAAACAACAGUUUUAAUAUUACCAAAUUUAACAUUUGGAAUGGGUUAUCGAGUCAGAUUUGGUGUUGCGAGUUACAACCUACACUAUAUACCAACAAAUGUACGGUAGUGGGAAAAUAUUAAUAUUUUAGGUUAAAUAUAAAACUUUUAAAAAUUGAUUAAUAAUUUUUUCGUAAAAAACAAAUACCACUAAUGAAAAAACCAGGACGGACUGGGACCAUCUUACAUUUUCCAUACAGCCAAGACCUAACUCUUGGGACCAAAACCUAACUCUUGGGACCAAAAAACCAGCGACCAGUUUUGUUAUUCCUAUUACUAUAUUUGGCCUUAUUCGAAUACAUUCAUAAUUUAUUUAUUUCUUUUUUAAUUAAAAUUAACGAAAAUUUAAUAAAAUAAUGAUAUGAUAAUUAGAUGGUUUUAAGUAUUUCUAUUUUUUAUACUAAACAUGUUAUGUUUAAUUGUAAUUUAAUUAUGGUCGAUAAAUAAAAAAUUGUAAGGGAAACCGAACCUAAUAGCUAUGACAAUUUUUUCGUAAGGUGUGGUGUUUUUACGUGGACAGCAUGCUAUGAUUAAUCCAGAAAGUCAUCAAUUAUGUUUUCAUUAUUAUAUUUUAAAAAUUAUUUUAUAUUUAAUUAUGCAACUAUUUAUCAAUUUAAUAUAUAAAUUAAUUUUUUUAAGGUUCUCAAAUAUGAAUUUAUGCAUGAUCAAUAAAACAUAUCAGAAAUAAAUUAAUGAAAAACUAAGUAUUAAAAAGGUUAUGAAAAAAGAAAUUUAAAAUCAAAAUUUAUUAUUUAAGUAAUGUUAUUUAUUAUUUACUAAAACGUGUAUAUUUUUACAAACUCUAAAAAUAUUUUCUUUUUAAUUUCCAUUUUCUAUUUUGGAAUUGGACCGCCAUUAACAAAGAUUUACAAAACUUCAUUAAAAAAUUUCAAAAAUAUUAUAUUUGGUUAAAUGACUCGUCAAAUAUUUAUAAGCUGCCCACGAAUGCAAAGUGCUGUCUUCUUAUAAUUGAAACAUGUAAACAUCGUUAUCAAUUCAUCAUAAUUCAUGUUUAAAAUCAUUUCAUUAAUAUAACAAAUAUUUUAAAGAUUUUGGUACAGUGUAAUAAUUUUGGAAACCAUAUAAUUAAAAAUGGUAUUUACAAACUUACUAUUAUUUAGUUAUUUUUGUCAAGCAUGUUAAUUUUUAACAGUAAAAGUAACAUAAAUUUUUAACAGAAAGGGUAAUUUGUUGUUUGAUCUAAUGUAGACUAGGGCGAAGGCAAGGGGACUGGCAUGGGCUCAGGCCCCCCUAAAAUGUAAAAUUAUUUUUUAGGCCCUUAAAUUUUUUAAAAAUUUUAAAUUAAUAAAGGUAAAAUUACACUUUGACCCCUUAAAAUUAUAAAAAUUUGAUUUAAUUUUUUACAAAUUAUAAAGAUAUAAUUUAUAAAAAAUUAAAAUUUCAUCCGACCCCCCUAAAAAAAUUUUCUAGCUUUGCCCUUGCAUAUAAAUGAAUUAAUUUGUCUAUUUUUUAUAUACAGAGGUUAAAAUACAAUCUAAUAUAUAGUACAUAAACCUUCAUAAUAUUAUUAUAAAAAUUGAUCAAUUCUAAAAUUAUAAAAACUAAGAAUAAACCAAAUAUACAGAGACUAAAAUCCAUAAUUUUCAUAAAGCUUAUAUAAUAAUUAUAAAAUUUAAUAUAAGACUUUCUUUCAAUUAUCCAAUUCAAUAUGUCAGCAGAUUAAAAAUUCAAGAGUAGGAAACAAUUUCAAUAAGGAGUUGAAAAUAUAAUGUACACGGGGAUGCACAAUUUAUCCCACUAUCCCUAACAUUACUCUACACAUGCCAUCAGAGGAAAAACUUUACAAAACAAAGAAUCCAACGGCACCGCCACCACUCCUAGUCUUUUUCUUCAUUACCGGAUACGGUUCAACUGAGAGAAUGGCUCACGGUUCACUUUCGGAGCAGUUUUAGCCACUUCUGGGACCCCAAAAACAUUCCAGAAUCUUAGAGUCUCAUCCCCUGCUGCUGAUGCCACUGUGCACCCAUCAGGGCUUUGAGCCAUGUAAAGUACUCUAGAUGUAUGACCCGUUAGCUCUGCCAUCUUCACCAUCGAUGGAUAUUUCCCAAGAGUUAAUUGAUUCUGAGUAAACCCAUGGGAACUCAAUAGCUCCCUCUCAUUCUUGCUCCAUAGCAAUGAGCAAACCUGGGAGUCGGUAUCAGCUGAAUUCAAGCAUGCACCAGUCUGUGUGUUCCAAAAUUUUAUGGUUCGAUCGCCGCCACCUCCACCUGUGGCCAGCAAAUUGCUCUGGAAAGGGCACCAGGGAAGGGCUUUGACAGCUGAGAUAUGCUCCUCCAACCUGUGUAGCCAUUGAGUUGGUGAAUUUGAAGAUGCCAUGGACCUAUCCCAUAUGUGAACAACAUUAUCAUUGCCUCCGCUGGCUAGCUGUUGCCCGGAAGCCGACCAUUUCAGCCCGCAAACCUCUUGCUGGUGGCCUCUGUAAGUUUCGACAACAUGGGAUCUAAUUCUCACAUCGUUGUUAACAAUCUGACCAUCCAUUCCUCCUGUUCUGAGAAUGUGAUUGUUCUAUGCCAUUGAACCCACUCUUGAUCUGUGACAACCUCUCAGAGUACGCAGCUGCAGCAACAAAGGGAAAAAUUAAAAAAUGGAGGAACAAUAAGAAGAAGCUGCAAAAUGUUCAGCAAAGACUUUAAUAUGGAACCUGUCGGUUGGCAGUCGAAUCCCAUAGUAGUACUUCGGAAUUGUUCAAGCCAAUGGCAAUAUGCCGACCAUCAGGAGCCCAAUUCACACUUGUUACUGGUCCGUUUUCGUCAUCAACAGUGACAAGUUUUGAAGUAGAACUAUCUGAAGCAUCCCACAUAUACACAGUGUUCCCGAGUGCUAUUGCUAGUACAUUGCUGCUGCCCCAAUCCAAUAAAUUCAGGUAAAAAUCGUCGACGAGAUCAGGAGCAUCCAAUGUUCUCUCAGAGCUCUGAAGAAUUGAAAAUCGCAUCAUAUUAGAGUCUGUUGAACCAAAAUUUUCUGAACUGACCAAAGUAUCCACAUCGUGCUGUACUUACCUGGGGAAUAUGUCUUCUAGGCUUUAAGGAUUUGGUCGGAUGCUUAUGACAUAUUUUAACCAAUUUAUAAUUAAUUCUGUUUAUGUUGUAAUAAUCAUCUAAUUAGUGUCAAACCAAUUGCAGUGACUAUAAGCGUAGAAGGAACUCCAAAUUUAAGGUGAUUCCAGAAAGACAAUGUGUAGCCUGUUGUUCCAAUAGGGUCGGAAGCGUGUAAAUUAUUGUACUAAAAAAUCACACAAAGUUCAAUUCCCAGGGAAGAGAGGUGGAUCACAAGGAUCUCUUAAAUACCAAGUCUUUCCUUAGACAGAAUAUCCCUUCUAUAGUAAUUUAAUAGCACAAUUAAAUACUACUAUUAUACCCUCAAAUAUUGAAAGAAAAAUAGGACAAGAAAGAACACAAGAGUUUUAACGAGGUUCGGUAAAUUAUACCUACGUCCUCGGGCACUAACACCAGAUGAUAACUUUACUAUCUUCAAAGUAUUACAAACAAAUAGAAUUCCUUAAGAAUUCUCAAAUGGGAGAAGAGAGAAAACUAAGAGAGAAAGAUUGGUUGGGAUGAAUUGAAAUGAGAAAUGAGAAGGCCUAUUUAUAGUUGAGGUUUAAGGACCAAACAAUAAAUAGCCCAUUAUCUCAAGGACCAAAAAAAAAUUAUCCCAUGCCACUUUUUCAAAGUCAAAUUUAGGGUGCUAAACUUGCACCACUUUGUAUUGUUUGCCAUUAAUGUUGUCUCCCAUUAAUGUUAACAAUCUCCACCUUGAAGAUUUGAUUAGGAUAAUCACAUCUUCACACACUUCCUUCAACUCCCCAAAUUCGAUAAAGCUAUCUUUUGUAGUGCCUACAAAUGCACUCUCGGGCGCCAUACACCUGAAGGUGCUCAAAUUCUCAGGAUGUUAAUCAAGUUCAAACAAUGAUUAAACUUGAUUGUUGUUACCACCUUGGUCAUCAUAUCUGCGGGAUUAUCUGCUGUCGGAAUCUUCUGAAGUAGAAUUUUUCCUUUUUCAAAGACUUCCCGCACAAAGUGAUAUCUUACGUCGAUAUGCUUGGUUCUUGAAUGAUAGACUUGAUUUUUCGCUAAAUGAAUAGCGCUCUGACUGUCACAAUAUAAACUUAUGUGACUUUGAACAACUCCUAAGUCUUUCAACAAUCCAUUAAGCCAAAUAGCCUCCUUAACAGCUUCUGUAACUGCCAUAUAUUCUGCCUCUGUAGUAGACACAGCUACUGUAGACUGUAAGGUAGACUUCCAACUUAUUGGGGCUUUCGCAAGAGUAAACAGAUACCCCGUAGUUGAACGACGUUUAUCUAAAUCACCAGCAAAGUCGGAAUCAACAUAUCCAACUACAAACUGACCAAGUGCUUCAUCCUGUUCAAAAAUUAAACCAACAUCUACGGUUUUUCGAAGAUACCGUAGAAUCCAUUUCACAGCUUGCCAAUGUCCUUUUCCAGGAUCAUGCAUAUACCUGCUCACAACUCCAACAGCUUGUGAAAUGUCAGGCCUCGUACACACCAUCGCAUACAUCAAACUCCCAACUGCAUUAGCAUAUGGGACUUUCGCCAUAUAUUCUCUUUCAUCUUCAGUCUUCGGAGAUAAUUGAGCACUAAGUUUCAAAUGAGAAGCAAGUGGGGUACUUACAUGUUUUGUGUUUUCAUUUACACCAAAACAUUGUAAUACCUUUUUCAGAUAUUGCUUCUGAUUUAAACAGAGCUUGCCUCUCGGUCUAUCUCUACUUAUCUCCAUGCCGAGAAUCUUCUUGGCCUCACCUAGAUCUUUCAUCUCGAACUCUUGAUUCAACUGAGCCUUCAGCUUAUCUAUCUCAUUUUGGCUCUUCGAAGCGAUUAACAUAUCAUCAACAUACAAGAGUAGAUAAAUGAAAGAUCCGUCAUGCAGCUUCUGCAAAUAUACACAAUUGUCAUAUUUGCUUCUUGUGUACUUCUGCCUUCUCAUAAAGCUAUCAAAUCGCUUGUACCACUGCCUCGGGGAUUGCUUCAAUCCAUAUAGCGAUUUGUUAAGCUUACAAACCCAAUUUCUACCACCAGCAUCUGUGUAUCCUUCUGGCUGAGUCAUAUAGAUCUCCUCUUCUAACUCACCAUGCAAGAAAGCCGUCUUAACAUCAAGUUGAGCUAGCUCCAAAUUCAACUGUGCUACCAAGGCCAACAAAAUUCUAAUGGAGGAAUGCUUCACAACAGGGGAAAAUACAUCAUUGUAGUCAAUUCCCUCCUUCUGAGCGUAGCCUUUAGCUACCAAUCUUGCCUUGUAGCGAAUAUCCUUCUUGCUAGGAGAUCCAUCUUUCUUUGCGAAUACCCACUUGCAUCCGAUUGCCCUUUUACCUUUCGGUAAUUGCGCCAACUCCCAAGUAUUAUUCUUCCGGAGAGACUGCAUUUCUUCAUCCAUGGCGCUUUUCCAUUUAUCACUUUCUAAGCUUUGCAUUGCUUCUUGAUAAGUGAUAGGAAUAUCAUCAACAACGGGAAGGGCGUAGGCCACUAUAUCAGUAAAUCGAGCAGGUUUACGAAUUUCUCUCCGUGGCCUUGCAACUGCAACUGGUUCUGGUGUACUUAGUGGUUCUUGGGUCAGAACCUCUUCAACCUCUAAUUCCUCCAUUGUGGCUGGAGAAUUAGACUUAUUAACUGGGCAAAUCCCCAUCUGCUCAAACUCCACCUGUUUUGGAGUACACUCCACCUGCUGUGGAGUAUUGCUCGUCUGAAUAUCUUUAUCUGCUACCUUUUUCAAUGUGGUAGAUUCAUCAAAGGUAACAUCUCUGCUACAGAUCAUUUUCUUUGUGCUUAAGCACCAAAGACGAAAUCCCUUCACUCCAGAAGUGAUUCCCAUAAAGAGAGCUUUCUUUGCCCUCGGAUCUAACUUUGACUCCUUCACAUGGUAAUAUGCAGUGGUUCCAAACACAUGUAAGGAAUCAUAAUCUGUAGCCGGUUUUCCAGACCAUACCUCCAUAGGAGUUUUUCUUUCUAAUGCAGAUGAUGGCAAACGAUUAACAAGAUGGCCAGCGUAUGUCACAGCCUCAGCCCAAAAUUGCUUGCCCAACCCAGCAUUGGACAACAUACAUCGAACUUUCUCCAGCAAUGUUCGAUUCAUACGCUCUGCCAAUCCAUUCUGCUGUGGUGUAUCCCUAACUGUGAAGUGUCGAACAAUACCAUACUCUUGGCACACAUCGAAGAACGGAUCACUUUUAUAUUCCCCUCCAUUGUCCGUCCUAAGCCGCUUGAUUUUCUUGCCAGUCUGGUUUUCGAUCAUAGUUUUCCAUUUAAGAAAAACUCCAAGCACUUCAUCUUUAGUUUUCAUGGUAUACACCCAAACUCUUCUGGAAAAGUCAUCAUCAAAAGUAACAAAGUAGUGUUUUCCUUCCAAUGAAGGUGUUUUGGAAGGCCCCCACACAUCUGAGUGAAUAUAUUCCAAAAUACCUUUUGUAUUAUGGAUAGCAGUGCCGAAUUUCACUCUCUUUUGCUUUCCCAGAACACAGUGCUCACAAAAUUUUAAUUUGCAAGCCUUUACACCUUUCAACAAUCCUUGCUUUGCCAGAAUUUGCAAGGAUUUUUCGCUGGCAUGUCCCAACUUCAUAUGCCACAACUGCAUUGAGUCCAAGUCUUUGUUACCGGAAGCUGCAGCGACUGCUCCAAUAACUGUACUACCUUGGUAGUAAUACAAGUUAUUUUUCCUGAUGCCCUUCAAUAUCACAAGUGCGCCAGAUGUCACUUUCAAAACCCCAUCUCUCAUAGUAACAACUGAACCAUUGGAUUCCAAGGCUCCCAAUGAGAUGAGAUUUUUCUUCAAACUGGGCACGUACCGAACAUCAGUCAGAACUCUGGUUGAUCCAUCUUUAUUCUUUAAUUGGAUUGAACCUAUCCCAACAGUUUUACAGGCAUUGUCAUUGCCCAUAUAAACAACUCCUCCAUUUAGUUCUACUAAAUCAGAGAACCACUCCCGGUUAGGGGACAUAUGAUAGGUACAACCCGAAUCCAAUAUCCACUCAUCUGAAUGGAACGACGAUGAUGAUGCAACCAGUGAUAGUUCAGAGUCACUAGUAUCAUGCUUAGCAACACAAGCAUCUACAGCAGCUUUUCCCUUAUUCUUCAGCUUUGGACAAUUUUUCUUCCAGUGGCCUUUCUCAUGACAAAAAGCACAUUCAUCUUUCCCGAGUCUGGACUUUGACUUUGAUCUCCCCUUUUGAGUUUUCUUCCGAGUGUAUGAACGACCUCGGACUAGUAAAGCUUCUGUAUCUCUGAUUGAGUUUUUCUGUUUGUCCUUCUUUCUCUGUUCAUAACUGUAUAAGGCCGCACAGACUUCGCUCAGAGAUAUAUCACUCCUGCCAUGAAGUAGAGUAGUUUCUAGGAACUCAAACUCCUCAGGAAGUGACCCCAACAGCAUCAAAGCCAAAUCUUCAUCUUUGAAUGUCUCAUCCAUAUUCAGCAAAUCAGUGACUAACUGAUUAAAUUUGGUGAUGUGAUCAUUCAUUGUGGUACUUGGGACGUAUGUGAAGCGAAACAGUCUUUUCUUCAAGUGGAGCUUAUUUUGACUGUUUUUCUUCAAAAAUUUUUCUUCAAGUGCCACCCACAACUUAUUUGCAGAAGUCUCCUUUGAAAAAGCAUACCUCUGCUCUCGAGAAAGGCAUGAUCGAAUUGUGCCACAUGCCAACCGAUUGAUCGCCUUCCAAUCUUUCUCCUGUACAUCAUCUGGUUUCUCUUCAUCAAUGGCAAUGUCUAGACCCUGCUGAAAAAGGGCAUCUAGAACCUCACUUUGCCACAUACCAAAAUGGCCCGUGCCAUCAAAGAUCUCCACGGCCAAUCUUGCAUUUGCAAUUGUCGGUCUUGUCCACAUGGACGAUGUUGAAGCUCCUACACCGACCGUUUUCUCCAUAAUCUUUCAAUAUACCUAAGGAAAUCUUUUCUGAUGUGGAAGAUCAGUUCAAACUGCAACCACAGAGCAUACUACGAUUAACCUUCGGCUCUUGAUACCACUUGUUGUUCCAAUAGGGUCGGAAGCGUGUAAAUUAUUGUACUAAAAAAUCACACAAAGUUCAAUUCCCAGGGAAGAGAGGUGGAUCACAAGGAUCUCUUAAAUACCAAGUCUUUCCUUAGACAGAAUAUCCCUUCUAUAGUAAUUUAAUAGCACAAUUAAAUACUACUAUUAUACCCUCAAAUAUUGAAAGAAAAAUAGGACAAGAAAGAACACAAGAGUUUUAACGAGGUUCGGUAAAUUAUACCUACGUCCUCGGGCACUAACACCAGAUGAUAACUUUACUAUCUUCAAAGUAUUACAAACAAAUAGAAUUCCUUAAGAAUUCUCAAAUGGGAGAAGAGAGAAAACUAAGAGAGAAAGAUUGGUUGGGAUGAAUUGAAAUGAGAAAUGAGAAGGCCUAUUUAUAGUUGAGGUUUAAGGACCAAACAAUAAAUAGCCCAUUAUCUCAAGGACCAAAAAAAAAUUAUCCCAUGCCACUUUUUCAAAGUCAAAUUUAGGGUGCUAAACUUGCACCACUUUGUAUUGUUUGCCAUUAAUGUUGUCUCCCAUUAAUGUUAACAUAGCCAAGAUGUGGUGCUCGACGAGCUUGCUCACAUACUAUCAAGUUCGCCGCCGAUCCCAACAACGACAAGUUUCCGGCUACCGUGCUCACCCAUGCUAAUAUCAGCCAUGCUUUCUUCUCUUCACUUGCUGAUAUCGCCGCGGCUGAUGCUGCCACUCUUCCUCCAAGCACCAGAACUAAAGAACAUACAUAUAUAUUAGUGCCAAGAGAAGCUGUUAGUUACUCUACUUUGACAAAAUUUUAUAAAAUAUGCUGUUAGUUGACGUACUUUAUAAAAUUUAAGAUUUAGUGUACUUUAAAACUUAAACAUUAAGUGAAUUUAAAAAUCAGAGACAAGACAUUAACUUUACCAGAAGACAAUAUCGAUCCAUUAAGUAAUCUAUCAAAUUCCGGAUAAAUAAGACUUCAAAUAUUUAUUUUUGCUAAAAAAAAGUAGAAUAUAUUUUACCUGUUGGUACGUUGGAAGCCACAUUGGAGAGGAGAAUAAUAACGACAGCUAAAACCGCAAUCCCGGAAACACGAUCGACCUUGGCAUUGGGUUCCAUAAAGUUCCAAAGAGUACUUGGAAUCCCAGUUUUUUUGAACCCUUCCACCGUAAUAAACAUUCCACAGAAGAAAAUCAAAAGCGAAUACGAUACCUGCUCAUAAAAAAAACAAGAAAACCUUUUUUAAUCAUUCAAAAAAAUAAAAAUCGAAACUUAAAAUCCCACUCUGUAAUUUUAAUUCAGAAACCUUUUCCAAGCAAGGCCUUGCAUCCUUAAAAUCAAGAACAACAAGUGCCAAUGAUGCUGUAAUGGCUGUCCAUGACAUAUUCAAACCCAUAAGCAAAGCAACCAACAUCCCAAUAGUGACUAAAUAAACACAUAAUUUCCACAUCUUGUUCUUCCAAUGCUCUGUUUUUGAUUCUUUUUCCUCUGAAAAUUGAG